Pseudoliparis swirei is the source of this 134-nucleotide small nucleolar RNA. RefSeq annotates it as small nucleolar RNA SNORA31. The record is from RefSeq and is a predicted model, not a curated record. The transcript has a single exon. Lineage: Eukaryota; Metazoa; Chordata; Actinopteri; Perciformes; Liparidae.
CUGCAUCUUUGACAGCCUGGGCUCUCUGCUGUGAGUAAACCUGGGUUUUAUUAAUUUAGAUGCAAUAUUAAACGUCCCUGCGCUUUCUGCUCGCCUCUUCCGUGGCGUCUCGGAUUGAAUCGGGGACGAUAAAU